RNAcentral lists this long non-coding RNA (676 nucleotides) under Physcomitrium patens. Its description in RNAcentral is "long non-coding RNA (PPAT_LNC013613)". The record is from RNAcentral. Lineage: Eukaryota; Viridiplantae; Streptophyta; Bryopsida; Funariales; Funariaceae.
GUUAAAAAGUAUCAUAUCAAUUUACAUUGGUUCGGGCUUUGACGAAUAUAUUUUAGAAAACUUAGGAGCUGCUGCCAUUACUUGACUUAUUCUUCUCCAACCAAAUCUUUGUUCUAGAUGCAUGUUGUUCUUGUUGUGUUCAAGCUUCAAUAUACCAAAACAAUUGAACUAAUAGAAGUGAGUUUGAAUAUGGAGAAAGACUGGUUAUAUGAAUUGGAUAUGUUAGUGUCACAUAUGAUUGUAUUCUAGCUAUCUGAAAUCAAUUAUCAAACUACAAAAUACCAAGGCUUACUACUUCGAUCUUAAUUCAACAUAUAAUCUAUUCUACGAAUAUCAAUUCAACAAUACUUCCAUAUUCUUAUCAGUUCAUCUCCCACUUACUCUCUUUGUGAUUUAUAUAUAUUCAAUUAUUGAUCUCCAACUUACUUAUUAUAUUCAUUUUCUCAAUUCAUCAUACAAAAUUCAAUAUCUUUACUUAACACAACAUAAUUUGAUAAUUUCAAUUCUCAAGGUCACAGAUUUUCUCCAAAAUGGUCAGUUCAAAGUCAUAUUCGAGAAUAUUCUAAUCAUGAUUUCAACAAUACUUCUCUCAAUCACAAUUCUUCAUAAAAAAAUAAUAAAAGCAAAGAAAAUAAAAAAGUAGUACCAAACUUAUCCCGGCUUAUGACUAUCACAG